This 554-nucleotide ribosomal RNA is filed under the name Clostridioides difficile. RNAcentral describes it as "bacterial LSU rRNA". It matches the Rfam family "Bacterial large subunit ribosomal RNA", at positions 1633 to 2198 of the family's 2925-position model. The record is from RNAcentral. Lineage: Bacteria; Bacillati; Bacillota; Clostridia; Peptostreptococcales; Peptostreptococcaceae.
UAAAGGUACCCGUACCGCAAACCGACACAGGUGGGUGAGGAGAGUAUCCUAAGGCCAGCGAGAGAACUGUUGUUAAGGAACUCGGCAAAAUGACCCCGUAACUUAGGGAUAAGGGGUGCCACCAUCAGGUGGCCGCAGAGAAUAGGCCCAAGCGACUGUUUACCAAAAACAUAGGUUUCUGCUAAGUCGCAAGACGAGGAAUAGGAGCGGAGGCCUGACCGGCGCGGGAAGUGUAAGGAGAUAUGUUAGGGCAAUCGAAGCGGGGAACUGAAGCACGAGGAAACGGCGGCCGUAAGUAGAACGGUCCUAAGGUAGCGAAAUUCCUGGUCGGGUAAGUUCCGACCCGAACGAAAGGCGUAACGAUUUGGGCACUGUCUCAACAACAGACUCGGUGAAAUUGUAAUUCCGGUGAAGAUGCCGGAUACCUGCGACAGGACGGAAAGACCCCAUGGAGCUUUACUGUAGCUUGACAUUGGGUCUUGGUACUACAUGUACAGGAUAGGUGGGAGGCUUUGAAACCAGGACGCCAGUUUUGGCGGAGCCAUCCUUGGGAU